Molecule: ribosomal RNA, 500 nt
Filed under: uncultured bacterium
Lineage: Bacteria
Description: partial 16S ribosomal RNA
Rfam family: Bacterial small subunit ribosomal RNA
Source: RNAcentral
AUUGAACGCUGGCGGCAUGCCUUACACACGCAAGUCGAACGGCAGCACGGGAGCAAUCCUGGUGGCGAGUGGCGAACGGGUGAGUAAUAUAUCGGAACGUGCCCAGUCGUGGGGGAUAACGCAGCGAAAGCUGUGCUAAUACCGCAUACGAUCCAAGGAUGAAAGCGGGGGAUCGCAAGACCUCGCGCGAUUGGAGCGGCCGAUAUCAGAGUAGCUAGUUGGUGGGGUAAAGGCCCACCAAGGCGACGAUCUGUAGCUGGUCUGAGAGGACGACCAGCCACACUGGAACUGAGACACGGUCCAGACUCCUACGGGAGGCAGCAGUGGGGAAUUUUGGACAACGGGCGCAAGCCUGAUCCAGCAAUGCCGCGUGCAGGAUGAAGGCCUUCGGGUUGUAAACUGCUUUUGUACGGAACGAAACGGCCCUUUCUAAUACAGGGGGCUAAUGACGGUACCGUAAGAAUAAGCACCGGCUAACUACGUGCCAGCCGCCGCCGUAA